GACGAACGCUGGCGGCGUGCUUAACACAUGCAAGUCGAACGGAAAGGCCCUCACCUUGGUGGGGGUGCUCGAGUGGCGAACGGGUGAGUAACACGUGGGUGAUCUGCCCUGUACUUCGGGAUAAGCUUGGGAAACUGGGUCUAAUACCGGAUAGGACCAUGGUUUAGUGUCUCAUGGUGGAAAAAUUAUUGUUUUGGUGCAGGAUGAGCUCGCGGCCUAUCAGCUUGUUGGUGGGGUAAUGGCCUACCAAGGCGUCGACGGGUAGCCGGCCUGAGAGGGUGGACGGCCACAUUGGGACUGAGAUACGGCCCAGACUCCUACGGGAGGCAGCAGUGGGGAAUAUUGCACAAUGGGCGCAAGCCUGAUGCAGCGACGCCGCGUGGGGGAUGACGGCCUUCGGGUUGUAAACUCCUUUCGUUAGGGACGAAGCCACACUUUUUUUGGGUGUGGUGACGGUACCUUUGUUAAGAAGCACCGGCUAACUACGUGCCAGCAGCCGCGGUAAUACGUAGGGUGCGAGCGUUGUCCGGAAUUACUGGGCGUAAAGAGCUCGUAGGUGGUUUGUUGCGUCGUCUGUGAAAUUCCGGGGCUUAACUUCGGGGUGGCAGGCGAUACGGGCAUAACUAGAGUGCUGUAGGGGAGACUGGAAUUCCUGGUGUAGCGGUGGAAUGCGCAGAUAUCAGGAGGAACACCGAUGGCGAAGGCAGGUCUCUGGGCAGUAACUGACGCUGAGGAGCGAAAGCAUGGGGAGCGAACAGGAUUAGAUACCCUGGUAGUCCAUGCUGUAAACGGUGGGCGUUAGGUGUGGGGACCGGUUUGGUUUCUGUGCCGUAGCUAACGCAUUAAGCGCCCCGCCUGGGGAGUACGGCCGCAAGGCUAAAACUCAAAGGAAUUGACGGGGGCCCGCACAAGCGGCGGAGCAUGUGGAUUAAUUCGAUGCAACGCGAAGAACCUUACCUGGGUUUGACAUGCACCAGACGGUUGUAGAGAUACGUACCUCCCUUUGUGGUUGGUGUGCAGGUGGUGCAUGGUUGUCGUCAGCUCGUGUCGUGAGAUGUUGGGUUAAGUCCCGCAACGAGCGCAACCCUUGUCUUAUGUUGCCAGCACGUUUGGGUGGGGACUCAUGAGAGACUGCCGGGGUUAACUCGGAGGAAGGUGGGGAUGACGUCAAAUCAUCAUGCCCUUUAUGCCCAGGGCUUCACACAUGCUACAAUGGUUAGUACAACGCGCGGCGAGCCUGUGAGGGUGAGCGAAUCGCUGAAAGCUAAUCUCAGUUCGGAUUGGGGUCUGCAACUCGACCCCAUGAAGUCGGAGUCGCUAGUAAUCGCAGAUCAGCAAUGCUGCGGUGAAUACGUUCCCGGGCCU
RNAcentral lists this ribosomal RNA (1365 nucleotides) under uncultured bacterium. Its description in RNAcentral is "bacterial SSU rRNA". It matches the Rfam family "Bacterial small subunit ribosomal RNA", at positions 28 to 1381 of the family's 1533-position model. The record is from RNAcentral.